Molecule: long non-coding RNA, 315 nt
Filed under: Equus asinus (donkey)
Lineage: Eukaryota; Metazoa; Chordata; Mammalia; Perissodactyla; Equidae
Description: lncRNA (ENSEASG00005029354.1)
Source: RNAcentral
AGCAAAACCCCGGUAGGAGUAUAUUCAGCAGAGAGUUGGAGGAAAGGAACUGGAGACCCUGAAUCUAGAAAACACUUCCAAGGAGCUUUGCUGUAAGAAACAUUUCUUAGACCUGCUUCAUCGAUCCAUUCCACUUCUAUGGCCAGCCCUGCCAGUUUAGUAUGUCAUCACCUGGGGCCUGGAUUGCAGCAACAGUGUUCCAGCUCUUCUGGCCCUGGAUCUGUGCAACUUCUAGCAAAUUUAUCCUUGUGUAAGCUUCUUUUCCCACCUGGGAUUCCCCUUUGGGAGAAGCUGGCAUAAGUCUCUAUUUCCUGU